GUGCCAGCAGCCGCGGUAAUACAGAGGGUGCGAGCGUUAAUCGGAGUUACUGGGCGUAAAGGGUGCGUAGGCGGUUAAGUGAGUGUGAUGUGAAAGCCCCGGGCUUAACCUGGGAAGUGCAUCGCAAACGACUUAACUGGAGUAGAUGAGAGGGUGAUGGAAUUUCCGGUGUAGCGGUGAAAUGCGUAGAGAUCGGAAGGAACGUCGAUGGCGAAGGCAGUCACCUGGCAUCAUACUGACGCUGAGGCACGAAAGCGUGGGGAGCGAACAGGAUUAGAUACCCCGGUAGUCC
Molecule: ribosomal RNA, 292 nt
Filed under: uncultured bacterium
Lineage: Bacteria
Description: partial 16S ribosomal RNA
Rfam family: Bacterial small subunit ribosomal RNA
Source: RNAcentral